GAAAAAUAAAAGAAAAUUAACCAAAAGCUCAUUACAAUAUCAAAUAGGUACUGUUGACAAUAAUUUUCAGCUUCAUCUAUCCUAAAACAAUUAUUUAAACUGCCAUUAGAAGCUUUUACUAAAAAAAUCAAAUUCAAUGCUACUCACAGCAGUAUUUCUCAGCUACCAAACAUGUACCAAAUUAUCAUAACUAACAAAAUUAGACCCAUGAGAUAUUAAGUUAUUACAAAAGGCAAACCUCAAACAAAAAAAGAAACAAUUUUUCGUCAAGAG
This 273-nucleotide unclassified non-coding RNA is filed under the name Hevea brasiliensis (rubber tree). Lineage: Eukaryota; Viridiplantae; Streptophyta; Magnoliopsida; Malpighiales; Euphorbiaceae. The record is from RNAcentral.